RNAcentral lists this ribosomal RNA (253 nucleotides) under uncultured bacterium. Its description in RNAcentral is "partial 16S ribosomal RNA". It matches the Rfam family "Bacterial small subunit ribosomal RNA", at positions 524 to 776 of the family's 1533-position model. The record is from RNAcentral.
UACAGAGGUCUCAAGCGUUGUUCGGAUUCAUUGGGCGUAAAGGGUGCGUAGGCUGCAGUGCAAGUCAGGUGUGAAAUCCCGGGGCUCAACCCCGGAACUGCACUUGAUACUGCUCUGCUAGAGUACUGGAGAGGAGACUGGAAUUUACGGUGUAGCAGUGAAAUGCGUAGAUAUCGUAAGGAAGACCAGUGGCGAAGGCGAGUCUCUGGACAGUUACUGACGCUGAGGCACGAAGGCCAGGGGAGCAAACGGG